Molecule: ribosomal RNA, 828 nt
Filed under: Triticum aestivum (bread wheat)
Lineage: Eukaryota; Viridiplantae; Streptophyta; Magnoliopsida; Poales; Poaceae
Description: partial small subunit ribosomal RNA
Source: RNAcentral
AUGACGAGCUCUGCCCCAACGAGCUUCCCCAAGAGGAAGCUGGGGGUGACGCCCGCGGGGUCCUUUGACGGGCCGCUUGAGGCUGACCUCCACAGCACGCAGGAAUUGGAGCAGCUUUUGGCCGAGCUGGGUUUGUACAAGAGCAAGGAGGAGACCGCUAGGCAAGAAGAGGUGUUGAGGAAGCUUGACAAGAUUGUGAAAGAGUGGGUGAAGGAGUUGGCUAUUCAGAGAGGCCAAGUCAACACAAAUGUCGGGCUUUUCACCUUCGGGUCAUACCAUCUAGGGGUAAUGUUGAUGAACCUGGGGCUGACAUCGAUACUUUAUGUGUUGGACCAAAUAGUGCCAUCGGAUCUGGAUAUCUCUCAAAAUUCAGUGCUUUCUGGAGUUGAUGAAGUCAACCUUCGCAGUCUUAGCGAGUGCAGAGUGGCAGACCAAAUUCUUGAUCUUGUUCCAAAUAUCGAGAACUUCCGGACAACGUUAAGGUGUGUGAAGCACUGGGCGAAAAGAAGAGGUGUUUGCGUUAACUGGUACUGGCCGAACCCAGUGAUGCUCUGUUCCAUUCAUGAAGAUCGGGAACUUGGUUUUCCCGUGUGGAAUGCACGCUUCAAUCGUGAAGACCGGACGCAUAUCAUGCCCAUCAUUACCCCGGCGUACCCGUGCAGAAACUCGACCGUGCACGUUUCGGCAACCACGCUGGAGGUCAUGAAGGAGCAGUUCCAGAUUGGGAAUGAAGUCUGCCAGGAAAUCGAGAUGAAGCAGGCUGAUUGGGCUGACCUUUUUGAGCCGCUCGGUGAUCCCCCCAGCGACGAAACUGCCGUUUCGUGCUGA